Molecule: long non-coding RNA, 3802 nt
Filed under: Cricetulus griseus (Chinese hamster)
Lineage: Eukaryota; Metazoa; Chordata; Mammalia; Rodentia; Cricetidae
Description: lncRNA (ENSCGRG00015036107.1)
Source: RNAcentral
CUGCUUUUGCUUCCAUCAGCUGCUUCCACCACUGAAUGAAGGCUCUAAAAUGGCUUUAAGGUUUCAAAAAUAAAUAGCGACACUAACAAAGAACUCUGGAAAGAAAAAUAAUAGAGAAGGAUCACUUGGAAGAAAAGAGGAAAGUACAAUGGGAGCACUCAAUGUGGAAACCCAACAGGAAGACCACAUAUUCAUGAAGCAAGAGCAGAUUCAGUAGAGUGGUCAAAUGAGGUCAGAUCAUAAGAGGAUGAAACAUCUAACAAAGCUUAAGAGUGAACAGUGUAUGCAGACCACUUGUGACAGAAUCGAGAGGUUCUGAAAAUGGAGGUGGAAAACCAGAAUCACUGGUGUGAAUGACUGAUGAGAUGACUGAUGCAUGCUCCUACUGCCUGACUUAAAGUGUGGGUGCUUGACCUCCCUCAUGAAUGUACUGUUCAUCCGAGUUACCACUAAUCUCCUUUUGGUUUGCUCAGGUCAGCAGGAUCCUCUCUAGAGGCAUGCUCUCUCCCUGGAUGAAUACUGACCUCUACUAAAAGCAUCACUGUAGGACAGCAUGACAUCAGAAGAGCAUCAGCAAGGCAGUUUCUUAAGGUCUUUUCUCAAAAGACCUUUAAGAAGUAAUGCUGGGGUAGGGUGAUAUCUGAUAAGUUCUCAUGUUCUGUAGGAGGGAAGUUAAUAGCAAUGGUGUGCUUUCUAUCUCAAAAAUAGAAGGGAAUUGGAAUAUAUGCACAUCAAGAAACAAUAAAAGUUUAAGAUAGUGAAUUCAGUAAUUGCUAGUUUACCAAGUAUCUAUGAACCAGUGUAUCUAUCAAUUAUACCUCAGACAUACAUACAAAUAUUACAUCAAUUAUUUAAACAAUAAAUUCUAAAUAUAGGUUCUCCAUUGUUAAUGGGAAUAAUUGAUCUUGAAACUCAGUAAAGGAUUUUCAGUGAGUAUCUAUGACAAUAUUUUUUGUCACCAAAUGAAGGGAAAUCCUUUCAUCGUUAGCCUGAAAAAUGUUACCAAGAUCCUGAAAUAAAUUUUGUAACUAUUCUGUCUCAUAACAAAGUUUGUAUUUGAUAUCUUUAUUGGCUCUUAAGUCCCUUUUGGUUGUAGUACAAACAUUUGAGUGAAUGUACUAGAUGCUUUCUCCAGGAAUUGGUUUUCUACCUUCUUUUAUAACUUCUCCUAUAGUAACCAAUAUUAAUGUGAGCUAGAGAAUGCACUGGAAUUUACUUUCAUAAGUGAGUUGUUUUUCCAAUGCCCACUCUAAGCUCUAUCAAGUAUUUGUUUUGUAUUUAAUAAAACCUAGCAUAGAACUCCAGUUAGCUUCUUCAAAGACAAAAUAAAUUACAUAUAGUCGAAAGUAAAUAUAAUUUGCUAUAACCUUCACUCUAAUGCCCAUGAAGAUAAAUGACUUCUAUUAUAUUUACAAAAACACAGCCAUAGUCAUUAAUAUGACUCACCAUUUUAGACUUGAGAGUGGAUAAAUAGAUCAAAGAAGUCCUGCAAAGUAAUGAAAACAUUUAAAUAUUCUAGACACCAGAGAAAAAGCUCGAAGGUAGAAUGACAACUCAGAAAAGAAACGAAGGAGGAAGGAGGGAGAUAAGGAAGCAGCCAGAGACUAUGAUGUGAGGGAGGAGGGGAUAAGGAGGAGUAGGGAGACUAGCAUGAGACAAGUUAGGGAUAAGGAGGAAGAGGGGGAGAUGAUUCUACAUCAAUAAGACAAUAGUAAAUUGUUGUUAUUACCAAACAGAAAUGUAUUUUACUUCCUCUAAAACCUAAUGACAAGAAAAUAUAACAAACUUACAUUCUUAAACCUGUAAAUUUAAACAAAGAACUUCUAAAGCUUAGUGAAACAAAUACAAUUAUCUAAUUAUCCUAAAACAAUAACAGCUAAUCAUUUUAAACAAACUUACAGUUUGACUCACUUUUGUAAAAUAUAAAUACUUAAAGAUCCUUCCUCUGAGAUGCUUAAAGACUAAGAAACAAGCUCUAUGGAGAAAUCAGUGGGGUGUUUCACUGACCCACAUGCCCUCUGUGUAGCUAAACAGAUUGUUUUUUAUUGCUGUGCAAUAUAGCUGAAAUUUUAUACUUUGGCUCCAAAAUCAUUCUUUCUUAGAGAACUUAAAACCAAUCCUAAUAAUUUCCACCACAGGUAAAUGAUAAACGUAUAAAGAGAUUGAUAUUUAAUUUGAUUUUGACACUAGACAAUCUGUACAUGUAUCAAAAUAUUACAUGAUGUGUGUUCAAUCUUAUUUGCUUUUUUUUUAGUUAGUUAAAAAGAAGCUCAUAAAAUGAACAUCUUUAAAGUUAAAAGGGGCAGUGACUACAGAUAAUUUCCUUACUAUUGGGGCUUCUGAAAAAGUUGUUAAUACUACCUUGAUAUAAUGUGUUUUAAAGCAAUGAAAAAGAUUGUCAGUUAAUAACUGGGUGUGUUUGCAUGAUGAUCAACUUACUGAAACAAUGCCCUGUACAUAAACAAUGCCGAUUUUGCCAGCUCUGGAUUCAAUGACUCUGUUUGAAAAGCAGUUCUACAGGCAUUACCAUUCUUGCUUCAAGGUUAGGGAAACUAGAUUUCCUUGAAAGUAUUUGCAACCCUAAAAACCACUUUUAAUAAGAAUUGUAUGAUAAGUUGUUGAAAUGCAAAUGUAAAAAUUUUUAUGUCUCUCAAGCUUCCUACUUGAAAGUGUGCCUUUGCUGUUUCCUCUGUAAGAGAAUUGAAUGGUCUAGAGAAUUAAUGAAGGAUUUGAACAAUUGUCUUGCCAAGGAAGUACAAUCUCCUUGUGUCUAGAGCACACUGACAGCCUUUGGGUAGCAUACCCAUACCUCCCAGAGAAGAGCAGAUACCUGUUGUUGCUUGUACGUUGGAAGACAGAUGUACACAGGAACCUGCAAACAUCUGAAAACUCUGCAUGUGUGUUUGUGAAACCCAUAGUGAAGUAGGCUUGGCCUCCCUGGACACUGAGAUCAAAUGGUCCUACAGUGUAGUAAGGCUGGCCUCAAGCUGUUGAUCCUCCUGCCUUGGCCUCCAGGUACACAGAGUACAGGCAUGCUCCGAUAUGCCCAGAUAAAUCUUAAGGAAGAAGUUUGUUAAUGCUGUUGGACACAUAAAGAACUGAGAUAUGAAGAAAUUAAGUACCCUGUAAAAUGUCAAAAGCAGCGAAUUUAAUGGAAAGCUGAAGCUGAGAUUCCAUGAUAAUUUCCAAUUUCUAUGGUAUCUAACAAAGUUUAAAGAUGAAGUCACAGCCUAAAGUAUGAGCAAAUAUGGUAUGCUGCUGUCACUCAAAAAAGCAAUGUUCAGCAGCAAUAUUAAAAUUUCAUAAAAGUGAAAAAUACUGAGAAAUCCUUACCUUGGGCUAAUCAGAUAAGACCCAGGAAAAAUACCUGAUGAAUGAAUCAAUGAAUAUAAAGUUUAACCACUAUUUUCUGUGUAACUGUUGCUUACCAAGAUAAAGGAAGAAAAUAAUCACAUGCCAUCACAUGACAGGUCUCUGCAUUUAAAUGUGUUUUAUUAAUGAGAAACUUCAUAAAGUAUUUCUUCCAUCCGAUCUGAGGAACUGCAACCUAAAUGGGGCAAUAAUGUAUUUCUGUGUAACCUGCUCUUAUCAUCUCUCCAAAUGAGCUAGAUGAAACUCCUUGAUCUUGUAAAUUCAUCAUUGUCUAUGUAAAUAGUUUCUACCCUAGGGCUUGAGGGCUGAAGGUAACUCUUUCAAAAAUCAUUUUCAUUUCAAAAACUUCAGUGCCAUAUAUACAUACAUAUAUACAUAUCCCAACUUUUUUGUGUAGAUCAUUGUUACACCUGUGGGAAUGUAUGCUGUG